Long non-coding RNA from Centruroides sculpturatus (bark scorpion), 361 nucleotides. RefSeq lists it as uncharacterized. The record is from RefSeq and is a predicted model, not a curated record. NCBI's taxonomy places the organism in Eukaryota, Metazoa, Arthropoda, Arachnida, Scorpiones, Buthidae. The transcript has 3 exons.
AUAAACACCAUUUAUUCGGAUAAGAAAUACUUUCACUUAAACCAAUUACAAUCUUUCAUUAAUCAAGUUGCGUGUUACUAACAGGACGUGGUGGGAUGGCGAAUAGCCUCGCUGUCUCUACAAAAUGGCACAAGAGUCCUACGAGGGUAACACAACGUGGCGAGAUCAUGCCGCCACUAAAAUAAGCAUGAAACCCAUUGGGCGUAAGAGAAGGAUACUCAAGUAAGAGUUUUAAUUUCAGGUGACGUGUUAUUACUAAUGGUUUGUGAUAGUUUACUUUUUGUUUCGUUUUAAUAGUUUAAAUUUCUUAUAUGACAUUUGUUUAUUUACAUGAAUUUUAUUAUAAAUUAAAUACAGUAUA